Molecule: ribosomal RNA, 427 nt
Filed under: uncultured Pseudomonas sp.
Lineage: Bacteria; Pseudomonadati; Pseudomonadota; Gammaproteobacteria; Pseudomonadales; Pseudomonadaceae
Description: bacterial SSU rRNA
Rfam family: Bacterial small subunit ribosomal RNA
Source: RNAcentral
UGGGGAAUAUUGGCCAAUGGGCGAAAGCCUGAUCCAGCCAUGCCGCGUGUGUGAAGAAGGUCUUCGGAUUGUAACGCACUUUAAGUUGGGAGGAAGGGCAUUAACCUAAUACGUUAGUGUUUUGACGUUACCGACAGAAUAAGCACCGGCUAACUCUGUGCCAGCAGCCGCGGUAAUACAGAGGGUGCAAGCGUUAAUCGGAAUUACUGGGCGUAAAGCGCGCGUAGGUGGUUUGUUAAGUUGAAUGUGAAAUCCCCGGGCUCAACCUGGGAACUGCAUCCAAAACUGGCAAGCUAGAGUAGGGCAGAGGGUGGUGGAAUUUCCUGUGUAGCGGUGAAAUGCGUAGAUAUAGGAAGGAACACCAGUGGCGAAGGCGACCACCUGGGCUCAUACUGACACUGAGGUGCGAAAGCGUGGGGAGCAAACA